Long non-coding RNA from Salvelinus namaycush (lake trout), 1475 nucleotides. RefSeq lists it as uncharacterized. The transcript is spliced from 2 exons. Lineage: Eukaryota; Metazoa; Chordata; Actinopteri; Salmoniformes; Salmonidae. The record is from RefSeq and is a predicted model, not a curated record.
UUAAGAACAUUCUUAUUUACAAUGACGGCAUAGGAACAGUGGGUUAACUGCCUUGUUCAGGGGAAGAACGGCAGAUAUUUACCUCGUCAGCUUGGUGAUUUGAUCUAGUAACCUUUCAGUUACUGGCCCAACGCUCUAACCACUAGGCUACCUGCCUCCCCAAGCCUUCACCGUGGUUGUAAGGUUUACUAGAAUGUUUCCAGACAUAUUCCGCUAUGCGUUACACUGCUGAAGAACCACAAUCAUUUUAAUUGAACCUUGUCUUUAUCAAAUCAAAUGUAUCCCAUUUAGAUGGAGUAUGUUUUCAAGAGAAACCUGGUCCUUAGACUGCAGCAGUUUUGAGAGGUAUUUGGGGAAACUGCGACACAAAAUGGCCGCUAUUAUUAGCUCUGCUCUUGUUUUUUUUUACUCCGUCUGGUUUUACUUACUUUACGUUUCCCAAUCCUGGUCUUGAGAGACCUGUGUGUGUGUGUGAUGUUUUUUUUAAUCAUAACCAUCCUCUGUUAAAUUUGUGUUGAUUUGUUACAGGGUACUGAAGACCAGUUUACACAGGGACCCUUCGGGCAGGUGUGUAACUUGCGGCGCAACGGGUCAAUUUGAACCCCCCAAUAAUAUGCCAUGUUUAGUUUGAUUUCCUACUGUAAAGCGCCAAGCAACUACAUGCUUUCUUGCUUUGCACCACAGAAUCAGUUCCUCGUUUUAUGCUCGUAUCUCCCCACUGCCAAAUAUGCUUUUGGCUGCGCCCGGUCCAAGGGGCGCCGUCCCAUUGUAAGCGCAGAAAUGCGCACAAUGCAGUAUAGGCUACACUCGAAUGUUCCAAAAUGCAAUUGGCGGGAGCCGUUCUAAAAAGCGCACCGUAUGUCAGUGGUUUUAUGUGACCGAGAUGAGCAUUUAGAAAGAGGGGAGAUCUAAAGAUGCAACAGCUAGCAUGGGUUGCUAAUAUGACUAGGAUUGUCUUGGGCUGCUGGACUAUGAAUUAAAGUUGAUAGAAACCCAAUAGAACAUGCUAGAAAUGCUGGUUUCCGUGGCAUAAGGAUCUGUUUAUAAAAUCAUUCCCUCAAUAUUUUAUGGUCUGAUUUUUUGCUAGGCUACUUUGGAACAAGAUCGAGUCAUGCGUCCUCCAAAACAUGACCCGCCAAGCAGCGCUUCUUAACAUCCGCUCGCUUAACCCGGAAGCCAGCCGCACCAAUAUGUUGGAGGAAACACCGUUCAACUGACGACCGACUACAGCUUGCAUGCGCCGGGUCCUCCAAGGAAUCGCUAGAGCGCGAUGAGCCAAGUAAAAUUCCCUCCCCGCCAAACCCCUCUUAGACCGCUGCGCCACUCAGGAGGCCGUUACAACCUUAUUCUAAAAUUGAUUAAAUACAUGUUUUAAAUCCUCUUCAUUCUACACACAAUACAGAUAAUGACGAAACACAUUUGUUUUGGGGCGGGGGACAAUUUAAAAAAUAAUAAACAUUAUUUUCAAGUAUUCA